UUUUCAAUAAAUUUUAGUAGGGGGACGAUGUUUGUCUCUCUAUGCUUACCAAAAAAAAAAAAAAGAUCUCAGACUAAAAAGGACAAGUUCUUUAAUUUCGAAUCACUUUCGAUUGUAAAAGACGAUUAGAAUCUUAAUACAUGUACUAAUUAACUACAAAGACCAAGACGAGUGGAUCAUUAGGCCAUCUCCAACCAUUGUCCUAAAACCUAUAAUAUGUUUAAGUUUCUCAAUUUUACAUCUCCAACCCAAAUACAACUUGAUGAUGAGUAGCAUUGUUAUUGCCCUAGCAGCUAGAAUUCCUCAUUUCCUGCACACAUGUACUCCGUUUUUGGUUGUUACUUAUUUUUGCAAUUUACAUCUCACUUCAUCACAAACAGAGAAGACAGUGAAUAAUGGAUUAUGUGAGGUUGGGGGAGUUUUGGCUCCCUCCCUUAGCAUCAAUUGGUCUCUUCUGUUCUGUUCUGCCAUAGGGAGGAUAUGCCAGAACAAUAUGUUCAGUUCCUCGGUUUGCAAUUUCCCACUAUGUUUUUGUGAGGAGUUCGAGUGGAAGAUUUGAUUCUCAACAUUGGUUAUGAUUCUGACAAGAAGACUCGCCAUUUUCCUCCCGAUCAUUUCAAUAAGUUUGUUUCCAUAAUGUCAACGAGCUGGAGGUUUUGAUGAUGCACAGUAGGACCUAUUGUGCCGACACAACAUCUCCACAAGGAAUAGGAAGGAUAUUGUGCGUUAUUGAGAGAGCAGCCCAGCUUGAGCUCUGUUAGUCUCUAACAAGCUUGCUAGGUUAACUUUGACUUGAAAAAUGAGUUGCAGACAAAUCUUUAAUUCUCAUUAUCAAAAGUUUACUCUUGAUUAUGAUUCCAGUCGUCAAUUCAAGCUAGGCAAUCUUGAUAUAUAUAACUUAAAACAUAAGAGUAUUUGAAGUUUUGAACGUCCACUGAUAAUGAAUCUGUUAAACUCUGGUAACAACGUACAGUUUUCUUUUAUACGUGUUGUAUCGGCAACAGAAUGAUCCAUAUUCUGUCUGUUCUACAAGAUGAUGCUAUUGAUCAUAUGCAAGCACAUAUCCAAUUUUAGAGGUAACUGCUAAGAUGAUACCGAACGAGUAACCAAAAAGAUGAGCUGCCAGAAACACCAGUGACCACAGGAGUUUAUAUGGCUUUGGUUUUGAUCACCUAUCUUUUUCCUCAAAAAAUGAGGACAUACAGGUAUACGUAUAGUGCAACAUUGUGUGCAAUAUCAAACAUAGAUAUAUGGUUUGAGAGGCUAAAGAAAAUACGAUAGAUAAUCAAACAAGGUAAUACAGUGCAUGUCACAACGCAUAUGUAUGACAUUAGAUUGGUGUGCCAUAAUAACAAGUAGCUAGGCCAUAAUAAUAAGUAGCUAGGGUAGAUAGUUGAAACAAGAGUGUCAUACACACAAAACAUUACUUGGGACUUGCUGAGCCUGUGUCAGGAGUCAUGACUAGAGUGUCUCAACUGAGACAAAAAGAUCAUUGUUCUUCUGGAACUCUAUGGCCUGCGGAAUAGUGUGUCAACUGAGACAAAAAGAUCAUUCUUCUUCUGGAACUCUAUGGCCUGCGGAGUAUCCUUGAUUGAGCAUUGGUCAGUCAUGUGUUUUCCACCACAGUGAAAGCAUAAUAUCUUACUUACAUAAGUUUUUCCAGUCCCCCCAAGGAAGGCAGAAACCCAUGCAAAUCCCUCUGGUAAAGGUUUGUCAGGAUCGUAUAGUGGAUCCUUGCCAUCCCUUGGAUCACGUUUGGCCGCACCUUUGCACCCAUAAAAAAAGAGGAGGUUAAAAUCAGAACCCCGAAUGGGAUAAUCAAAGAAAAAGUCAUGAUAAUGAAAUUCAUGUUUUAUGAGUGUUACGAUCCUAACCCAGAAAUGCCAUUGCAAGAAAUGAAAAACGAGAAAGGAAAGGAAAACUAAAAUUCAAUAUAUUCUUCAAUACCAUUACAAGCAUCCUAGAUUGCCUUGUAUAGUAGGAGAAUAGGAACCCUAAAGACCCAUGUAAGAGAGAACCCCGUUUCAUUAACAAACUACUAUUUCUAGGAGGCUCAAACCAACAAAUAGCUCACCUAAACAUUUAGAUAAUGAGCAGCAAAUCAUCAAAUCAAAAUGAGUUCAUAAGUAGUCUUGGGGAUCACUACGGAAUCGAUCGAGGACAUAACUCAUCCCUAACUCUGAUAGUAAACACACACAAAACAGAAAGGCAUGAAGAGAAAUUCCAAAAACAGCUAAAUAGUAAAAUCAAGAGCAUGCAUACGUUCUGCAUCGGCCAAGUCAGAGGCCACCAAAAUCUUUUCAAACUUUUCUGCGAACGAGAGUUUUAGAUCUUCGCGAGUCAAAAAGCGGGCGGCUAAUUCAGAAUCUGAUAACUCCUCCAUCCUGUUCCGCUUCGGCGAUGAGGAUUCGAGGCUGGGGAUCAUCUCCAACGGUGAGGGUCGUCAUCGCUCGCUUCGAUUAGGGUUUCGCGUCGCCUUCAAUUUGGUUGUUGAUUUCGAUCUGAGGACGACUCGCUUUUUUACAUUAUAUAUAGAAUCAGGAUUUGGGCUUUGGGCCGGGUUUGUUCCGUCUUUCCUUUUCCUUCUUGCUUUUGGACAAGGUUUUCGUAACCACGUAUCGUUAGCCAAUAAGAAGAAGACAAGCGUCCUGUUGAAGAGCCACCACAGCAUCAGGGUUGUUGGCUUCUACGACAGUAUGGAUUGGGUCUGAAAUCACAUUUGGGCUUGGGGCCGAUUUCUUUCUUUUCGUUUCUUCCCCAGUAGGCCAAUUUGAGAUUGGAUCCGCUAGUUUAUCAAUGUAGAUAUUGAGCAGGUAUAAGUAUUCAUUAUCAGUACAAUGUACCGUCUAUGAAUAAAGAGAUUUGGAUCGUUUGUUAAGGAGGUGGCCAUUAUAAUUUAGUUUAAGUAACAUGGGUGUCUAUAGAAACUUAACAGAACUACGAUGUGACCGAAGUGUUAUUUGAAAUUUAUUGUGGGAAUAAGCAUCGUGUUUUCCUCAUUAUUUCAUGUGUGGGAAGCUGAAAAUGCAGCAUGUAUCAUGUACGAUAAUCCUUAUGAGGAUGAUAUAUUUAUGAUUUUUGUAAGUCGUUUCUUGUUGACGAUGGUUGAGUUAUUAAAGAGGGAUGUGAUUCCUUCUGUCAUUAUUGGUCGUCGAAAACUGUGAAAUAUUGAUGCCGACGACGUUGACUCAUUCUUUUUUGAGUCGGUAAGUCCAGAAGGACUUGAUUUCUCAUUUGGGUGGGUGAGUAUGCCUACGUUAGGACUUGAAAUCUUAGAUGAAAUUUUAUGUUAUACGGAGAGAUAUAGCCCACUAAAGGCCCAAUUCUCCUUAAAUUGCCAUGUCUUGAAAUGUUGUCCUCUCUUCUUCUCACAGUCACUCGCUCUCUCACUCACCAAGUUCAACACUUGCAGGAGCUCAAAAACCCAGAAAGCUCCAAUCUUUUCGAAAACCCAGAAAGCUCAAACCUUUCUCAAACAACCCAGAAAGACUCCAUUUUUAUAAGAAACCCAGAUGAGCAACAAGACGUUGCUGCAGGAGGUUUGCGCCAAAAAGGGGUGGGCUGCACCCAAGUACUGUAUCACCAAGCAAGGCCCUGAUCACAUUCCUCAGUUCUCCGCCACCGUUGUCGCCAAUGACGUCAGCUUCGUCUCUCAGGGCUUCCUCGGCUCCAAGAAGGAAGCUGAGGCCUCUGCUGCCGGAAUGGCGUUGCAAAAGCAUCUUGGUUAUCAAAGCCAACAGCCCAUUAGCCCAAAUGUCGAGUCUUUGUCUUCCCCAGGUAACAAGGUUUUACAAGUGUUUAAGCUUUUAUUGAUCAAGGAAGUUCUGUUGUGGAAUUUUGACUGUUUGAAUUUGUGAUGCAGUGAAAGUUGGCUGUGUGAACAAAGUUGAGGGCAAUCCCACAUCGGUGAGUCUCAGUUUCCUCAUAAUUGGAGUUAAAGUUUCCGACUUUAAGAGUUUAAGUUGAGGGAUUGUAAGACUAGCUUACAAUAUUGUUCAUGAUAUGCUGUUGAAUUAGAAUAUUACGAUAUAAUGCACUUGAAAACUUUGAGAAUUGGUAUGCUUAGAAGCCUUGUUAGAUAGAGCUCGAGGUUAAUAAGAUGUAGACUUGAUUAAUUGUUUCUGCUUUGCGUCCUGCAAUGUACUGUUCUUUAAUUGUUGAGUGUACAAGGAUUCAGGAUUGUGCAGUGUGUCUUGUUCAUUUAGUAACUCCUCCUUAUGAAUUAUAUUUUGGUUGUUUACUUGGCUCAUUUUUGUUAAGAGGCUUUGGGUUAAGGGUUUUGAAGAUUAGCUUACAUUAUUGUUCAUCAUAUGUCGUUAAAUGGGAAUAUUACAAUGAAAUGUACUUGACUGAUAUGCUUAGAGUAUGAUUAAGCCUUGUUAGAUAGAGCUUAAGGUUAAUAAGAUGUAGUGUUGAUUAAUUGUUGUUUGAAUCAGGAUUCAUGGUUGUGCAGUGCUGUCUUGUUUGAUUAGUAACUCCACAUUUUACUAAUGAACUUUUGGUGGUUUACUUAUCUCGUUUUUGCACUACUGUGUCCUGCAAUUUUGACUCUUAAAUGUACUGUUUGUGACUUUAGAGUAGGAAAAAGCCUUGCUAGAUAGAGCUUAAUGUUAAUAAGAUGUUGUGUUGAUGAAUUGUUGUUUGUAUAAGGAUUCCCGGUGCUACUGUAUUUGUAGAGCUUCAGGUUAACUUUUGGUGGUUUACUUAUCUUGAUUUUGUGCUACUGUGUCCUGCAAUUUUGACUCUUAAAUGUACUGUUUGUGACUUUUUGAUGGGGGAUAAAGUAGUUGUCUUUCUCUUGCAGAGUGAUACUAAUAUCACACCGAAGAAGAAGGGUGCAGAUGAAGUGGAGCAGUUGUUGGCUCAGGAACAGAAGGUAUGCUUUGAGUUAUUUGGUUUUACUUGGUGGUUAUGGUUGGAUGAAGUCGCGAGCCUCUGAAACAUGUUGUUUUAUGAUUAACCAGCUAUGGCAGAAAGAGAAGCUUGAGCUUGAGCUGAAGAACCUUGAAUUGGCGAUUGCAACUGAUGUGAAGAGUAAUGAGAUUCAACAAUUUGAGAAGAAACUGCAAGAUAUGGUAAUCAGUACUCUGUUGAUGUCAAUGAAUUCUGUAUCUAUUUGUGGGUGGGUAAUCUAGUAGCUAGAAUAUGGUUGGCUGACAUUCUCUUGGCCAUUAUGUAUAAUGUGAGCAACUGCUGUGCUUUUUCCUUUCAGAAAGAGAUGGCAACAAUGGAGCAGAUGAAAACUAGGAGGGUGAUAUCAUUGGUAGAAGAGAAAAAGGUUUGUUGUCAGUUAUCUUUUUGAAAUUAUCAGAUUUGGAUGAACAAAUCUCUUUGUUUGUUUGUUUUGGUAACUGAUGAACGAAUCGAUGAAUUCUUAAAUUUGCUUAUUGACUUGCAAUUGCAGGGAGAAAAUGAGAAACUCCAUAUGAAAGUGGCUGAACUGGAAAAGCAACUCCAGGCAGUGAGUGGGGAUAUGGAAGGGGGAAAGAAGAUAAUCGGUCUCUCCGACUCUUUCCGAAAGGAGCAAAGCUAUAAAAAUGAACUCGAGGAGACUCGUAAGGCGUUGAUCAAUGUAUGUCAGUUUGUUCGUUCCAUUUGGGUGGUUUGUCAAAUAUGUUAUUGUUCUAAUAUUAUCUCUAAAAUGUUUCCUUAGCUAUACUUGUAGUUUAUAUUGGAUUAAUUUACUGAUAUUGAUAAGCCUUAAACAUAUUGAAGCCUCUUGGCCUGAUUUGCUGAUUUGCUAAUCUUAAUAUGCUCUGAAUUGAUGCCUUAAACAUAUUGGAAUCUACGGUUCUACAAACUGCUGGGACUGUUGCUCUUGACAUUUUUACCUACCAAUUUGGAUCUUUGAAAUGUAAUUGUUAUAAUAAUACCUCUAAAAUGUUUCUUUAGCUAUACUUGUAGUUUAUACUGGAUUUGUUUACUGAUUUUGAUAAGCCUCAAACAUACUGGAUUAAUUUACUGGCACCGUUACCUACCACUUAGGAUCUCUAAUAUGUGAUUGCUUUAAUGUUAUCUCUAAAAUGUUUCCCUAGCUAUACUUGUAGUUCAUACUGGAUUAAUUUACUGAUAUUGAUAAGCCUUAAACAUAUUGGAGCCUCUUGGCCAGAUCUGUUGAUUUGCUAAUCUUAAUAUGCUCUGAAUUAGUUCGGAAGUUUGGGAGAAUUGUAGUGGAAUUAUAGUGUGCCGUCUGUAUUUUGAGCAAUACAGUGGAAAACCCAAGAAUGUUUGAGUGAUUUUUUCAGUGUUGUGCGUCUUAAGGAGCAUAAUGUUGCUAUCGUUCUUGUGUUAUCUUUGUUAUUUGCAGGUAUUACGUGAUGGUUCAAAAGAGAAUAUUGGGGUUAAAAGAUUGGGAGAUCUUGAAUGGGAAUAAUAGUCUUACUAAUUUAUUGAUAGAUAGAGUCACCCGAAUGAUUUAGAACAUCUAUCAAAACUAUAAUCUAUUCUAAUAAGAAAACGAAUAGGUCAAGACAUAUAACAGAAGGACAGAAAAGUAAUUUUCUUAAACAUUAUGUAGUUAAAAACAUGUUUUAACCAUAAAUUACCCAAAUGUAGUGGAGCUAAUCACUCGAUGUAAAUUACCAUGUACCCUCUUUUGGUUUUAAACUUUGGCCCAGUUUGGGACAGCUGUGCUGUGAGAAGAAUUGCUUCUGGAAUUGCUGUAAGAAGAAUUGCUUCUGGAAUUGCUGUGAGAGGAAUUAGUUGAGAUGUUUGAUAAACUGUUUUUAAAAGGGCAAAAUAGGAUUUAGGAAAAAUUCAUUUAAUCUUUUUAUGUUUCUGAGAUUGAUUCUCGCAAAAGCACCUCUUACCCUGUUUCUCUAAAACCCGUUUUUAAGAGAAUCUAUUCCUCUAAAAUCAGUUCUACGGGUGGUUACCAAACACUCAAGUUGUCCCAAAAUCACUUUUGACCCUAAAAGCAGUUUCAAAAUCGUUCCCAAACUGGCAUUUUAAUGUGAAGUAAGUUUAUAGAGAUUGUACAAAAAAAUUGAAAAGAAAAAAUAAAAUAAAAUAAAAAUAAAGGCGGAAACCAGGUAAACUCGCCUUCGCGCACAACUCACUCACCAAUGCAAACUUCGAUGUGACCACCGCCUCAUCUUCCCCUCCCUUUCAAUUCCCCGAUUUAAUGGCCCUCCGAUUCUACCCCUCCCCUUCGCUAGAUCUUCAAGCGGCGGCGAUGUGACGAGGCGGGCCUUGACGGAUCUGAAGAGGUGGAGCGGAUGAUGCCGCCGGCGAGCGAGGAGUGGAUGAUUCCGUCGACGAGACGCAGAGGAUGGAGAGGGAGACUCGGCGGAUCGCGCCGCCGCGAGAGGAAAAGCUGGGUUUCGAUAAUAGUAGCAGUCAUGGGUCGUGAAUUAGGCAUGUGGUCAUACGGAUUUUGGAUGACAGCGAACCU
This 7393-nucleotide long non-coding RNA is filed under the name Fragaria vesca (wild strawberry). RNAcentral's name for it is "long non-coding RNA (FVES_LNC003896)". Lineage: Eukaryota; Viridiplantae; Streptophyta; Magnoliopsida; Rosales; Rosaceae. The record is from RNAcentral.